GAUGAACGCUAGCGAUAGGCUUAACACAUGCAAGUCGAGGGGCAGCAUGGUCUUAGCUUGCUAAGACUGAUGGCGACCGGCGCACGGGUGCGUAACGCGUAUGCAACUUGCCUCACAGAGGGGGAUAACCCGUCGAAAGACGGACUAAUACCGCGUACACUUGGGAUAGGGCAUCCUGACCCAAGGAAAUGAAAUUCGCUGUGAGAUAGGCAUGCGUCCCAUUAGCUAGUUGGUGAGGUAACGGCUCACCAAGGCGACGAUGGGUAGGGGAACUGAGAGGUUGAACCCCCACACUGGAACUGAGACACGGACCAGACUCCUACGGGAGGCAGCAGUGAGGAAUAUUGGUCAAUGGGCGAGAGCCUGAACCAGCCAAGUCGCGUGAAGGAUGACUGUCUUAUGGAUUGUAAACUUCUUUGAUACGGGAAUAACAAGAGCCACGUGUGGCUCCCUGCAUGUACCGUAUGAAUAAGCAUCGGCUAACUCCGUG
This 490-nucleotide ribosomal RNA is filed under the name uncultured bacterium. RNAcentral's name for it is "partial 16S ribosomal RNA". It matches the Rfam family "Bacterial small subunit ribosomal RNA", at positions 28 to 507 of the family's 1533-position model. The record is from RNAcentral.